UUAAAUUGAAUAGUUUGAUCAUGGCUCAGAUUGAACGCUGGCGGCAGGCCUAACACAUGCAAGUCGAACGGUAACAGGAAGCAGCUUGCUGCUUCGCUGACGAGUGGCGGACGGGUGAGUAAUGUCUGGGAAACUGCCUGAUGGAGGGGGAUAACUACUGGAAACGGUAGCUAAUACCGCAUAACGUCGCAAGACCAAAGAGGGGGACCUUCGGGCCUCUUGCCAUCGGAUGUGCCCAGAUGGGAUUAGCUUGUUGGUGGGGUAACGGCUCACCAAGGCGACGAUCCCUAGCUGGUCUGAGAGGAUGACCAGCCACACUGGAACUGAGACACGGUCCAGACUCCUACGGGAGGCAGCAGUGGGGAAUAUUGCACAAUGGGCGCAAGCCUGAUGCAGCCAUGCCGCGUGUAUGAAGAAGGCCUUCGGGUUGUAAAGUACUUUCAGCGGGGAGGAAGGGAGUAAAGUUAAUACCUUUGCUCAUUGACGUUACCCGCAGAAGAAGCACCGGCUAACUCCGUGCCAGCAGCCGCGGUAAUACGGAGGGUGCAAGCGUUAAUCGGAAUUACUGGGCGUAAAGCGCACGCAGGCGGUUUGUUAAGUCAGAUGUGAAAUCCCCGGGCUCAACCUGGGAACUGCAUCUGAUACUGGCAAGCUUGAGUCUCGUAGAGGGGGGUAGAAUUCCAGGUGUAGCGGUGAAAUGCGUAGAGAUCUGGAGGAAUACCGGUGGCGAAGGCGGCCCCCUGGACGAAGACUGACGCUCAGGUGCGAAAGCGUGGGGAGCAAACAGGAUUAGAUACCCUGGUAGUCCACGCCGUAAACGAUGUCGACUUGGAGGUUGUGCCCUUGAGGCGUGGCUUCCGGAGCUAACGCGUUAAGUCGACCGCCUGGGGAGUACGGCCGCAAGGUUAAAACUCAAAUGAAUUGACGGGGGCCCGCACAAGCGGUGGAGCAUGUGGUUUAAUUCGAUGCAACGCGAAGAACCUUACCUGGUCUUGACAUCCACGGAAGUUUUCAGAGAUGAGAAUGUGCCUUCGGGAACCGUGAGACAGGUGCUGCAUGGCUGUCGUCAGCUCGUGUUGUGAAAUGUUGGGUUAAGUCCCGCAACGAGCGCAACCCUUAUCCUUUGUUGCCAGCGGUCCGGCCGGGAACUCAAAGGAGACUGCCAGUGAUAAACUGGAGGAAGGUGGGGAUGACGUCAAGUCAUCAUGGCCCUUACGACCAGGGCUACACACGUGCUACAAUGGCGCAUACAAAGAGAAGCGACCUCGCGAGAGCAAGCGGACCUCAUAAAGUGCGUCGUAGUCCGGAUUGGAGUCUGCAACUCGACUCCAUGAAGUCGGAAUCGCUAGUAAUCGUGGAUCAGAAUGCCACGGUGAAUACGUUCCCGGGCCUUGUACACACCGCCCGUCACACCAUGGGAGUGGGUUGCAAAAGAAGUAGGUAGCUUAACCUUCGGGAGGGCGCUUACCACUUUGUGAUUCAUGACUGGGGUGAAGUCGUAACAAGGUAACCGUAGGGGAACCUGCGGUUGGAUCACCUCCUUACCUUAAAGAAGC
RNAcentral lists this ribosomal RNA (1556 nucleotides) under Escherichia coli. Its description in RNAcentral is "bacterial SSU rRNA". It matches the Rfam family "Bacterial small subunit ribosomal RNA". Lineage: Bacteria; Pseudomonadati; Pseudomonadota; Gammaproteobacteria; Enterobacterales; Enterobacteriaceae. The record is from RNAcentral.